UUGAACGCUGGCGGCAGGCCUAACACAUGCAAGUCGAACGGUAACAGGAAACAGCUUGCUGUUUCGCUGACGAGUGGCGGACGGGUGAGUAAUGUCUGGGAAACUGCCUGAUGGAGGGGGAUAACUACUGGAAACGGUAGCUAAUACCGCAUAACGUCGCAAGACCAAAGAGGGGGACCUUCGGGCCUCUUGCCAUCGGAUGUGCCCAGAUGGGAUUAGCUAGUAGGUGGGUAACGGCUCACCUAGGCGACGAUCCCUAGCUGGUCUGAGAGGAUGACCAGCCACACUGGAACUGAGACACGGUCCAGACUCCUACGGGAGGCAGCAGUGGGGAAUAUUGCACAAUGGGCGCAAGCCUGAUGCAGCCAUGCCGCGUGU
RNAcentral lists this ribosomal RNA (378 nucleotides) under uncultured bacterium. RNAcentral describes it as "bacterial SSU rRNA". It matches the Rfam family "Bacterial small subunit ribosomal RNA", at positions 30 to 404 of the family's 1533-position model. The record is from RNAcentral.